Non-coding RNA from Bombyx mori (domestic silkworm), 85 nucleotides. The record is from Rfam. NCBI's taxonomy places the organism in Eukaryota, Metazoa, Arthropoda, Insecta, Lepidoptera, Bombycidae.
UUAAGUCAAAUAUGUAUGGUGUUGGAACAGCAACCCUAGCGGCAAACGAAAGGAAACUGUUCCAACUGUAAACAAAUUUGAGUUA